AUGUUUGACAACAACCAUAUGGCAUUGUUAAAGGAGGAGCCCGAUAGAGCUAAAUCAACUAGGCAAAACAGUCCAGGAGCCCGAAAGCCCGAAUUAAAUCAGAAGGCCGAGAAAGCGCGGGAGCCCGAAAGCCCGGGAGCCCGAUCUGGUUGUACCUUAAAAGGCCGGAGCCGGCAAGCCCACAGCCGCCACUCCCCAGCUCCUCUCGACCUUCUUCUUUCUCUCCCUCCUGCCACCUCCUUCCCAUUCAUCCAAGAUUCCAAGCAGGCCAGCUUACGCCAAUCAAGGGUAAUGGCCGCGUUCAGCAUCCAGGGCAACGUCUCCCUGCUCGGCAUGGACCCUGAGGCGAUCGUCGAGGCCUGCGACGACAGCGCUCGCGCGUCCAGGCUCGCGCAGGCGCUGCUCGGGGUCGGCCUCGCCACCGCAACCAUGGCCACCUACGCGGCCGUGCUCAGGCGCCCGGGCGGCCAGGAGCUCGCGUACUAUUUCCUCGGCCUGGGCGGCGCCUUCGUCGCCGGCGUGGCGGAGAUGUGGGCCGCGCUCUGGAUCUCCGGCGACGUCCCCGCUCGCCGCCGCAAGGGGAAGGUGAUCCUCUACGCGUCCGUCGUCCCGCUCGUGAUCGCCAGCGGGCUCGGCGGCUUCACCGUCGUUUUCAACUGA
This 660-nucleotide ribosomal RNA is filed under the name Triticum aestivum (bread wheat). RNAcentral describes it as "partial small subunit ribosomal RNA". The record is from RNAcentral. Lineage: Eukaryota; Viridiplantae; Streptophyta; Magnoliopsida; Poales; Poaceae.